This 452-nucleotide ribosomal RNA is filed under the name Streptococcus sp. oral taxon C08. Its description in RNAcentral is "bacterial SSU rRNA". It matches the Rfam family "Bacterial small subunit ribosomal RNA", at positions 28 to 471 of the family's 1533-position model. The record is from RNAcentral. Lineage: Bacteria; Bacillati; Bacillota; Bacilli; Lactobacillales; Streptococcaceae.
GACGAACGCCGGCGGCGUGCCUAAUACAUGCAAGUAGAACGCUGAAGCUUGGUGCUUGCACCGAGCGGAUGAGUUGCGAACGGGUGAGUAACGCGUAGGUAACCUGCCUGGUAGCGGGGGAUAACUAUUGGAAACGAUAGCUAAUACCGCAUAAGAGUAGAUGUUGCAUGACAUUUGCUUAAAAGGUGCAAUUGCAUCACUACCAGAUGGACCUGCGUUGUAUUAGCUAGUUGGUGAGGUAACGGCUCACCAAGGCGACGAUACAUAGCCGACCUGAGAGGGUGAUCGGCCACACUGGGACUGAGACACGGCCCAGACUCCUACGGGAGGCAGCAGUAGGGAAUCUUCGGCAAUGGACGGAAGUCUGACCGAGCAACGCCGCGUGAGUGAAGAAGGUUUUCGGAUCGUAAAGCUCUGUUGUAAGAGAAGAAACGAGUGUGAGAAGUGGAAAG